AGGUGCCCAUCCUUUCUCUUUCACGUCUGUUUAUAUCAGAUGGGUUUUGGUUAAUUUAUUGUUUGAAGUUGAAUUUCGACUUUUGUUGGGAUUGGGUUUAUAUGGGAAGAAAAGAAGUUGAACCAUUUGGAAUUGUUGAGAUCAUUGGUUUUAUGAGGCCCAGGAUGAGAAACUCAGGUUAUGAAUGGAAUUUUUUUUUUCUUCAAUUUUAGAUAGAUGGGUAGCUGCCUACGGAAUGAGUGGACAUAAAAGUGGCUGCUAAAGCCUUUAUUGGUUUAGGAAUCAAUUGGGUUGUACCGUUGUAUCGUAUGCUAGCAAAUUUUUGUUCUUUAGAUGGAAUCUAUUGGCAGCUUUAACUUGGGAAUGUAUUUUGGUGCAAUCAAGGCAAUUCUGUUAGAAAAUAAAAUGGUAGUGAUGGGUCCAACCUGAUUUACCUAGAAGUUCUUUCCGUUGAAGUUCAUAAUUGAAGGGAGGUGAAUGGUUUUAGUUUCAAUUUUUGUAUAUUAUACCUCUAAAUCUUUUAGGAUUGUCAAUCCCUCUCUUUUGCCAAAAUCAUUGAUCAUGUUUGUGAUGUCAUUAAAUUAGUAUGAUGGUACUAUUUAGUUGAUUUGUUAUUCAGUUACAGAGGAGAAAUUAUUGGCAGGUUUGGUUUGUUCUUGUCAUAUGAACAACACAUCCAAGCAUGUAGUCGCAAGUGUGCUUCACAUUUUUUUUCGUGUUUAUAUCAUAUAUUUUGGAUGGUUAAUCUUCUGCUGUUUGUCAUGUUCUGGUGAACUUGUUGGCUUGUGCUAACCAUAUACAUGCUGCAAUUUUACUAGGUAUUUUGUUUGGAGCACCGAAGCUAUUCUAAACACAGUUGCCCAAAAGCUGACGGAAAGGAUGUUACUGUUGUGAUCUGUCCACUAUGUGCCAAAGGGGUUCGUUUAAAUCCUGAUGAAGACCCAAACAUAUCUUGGGAAACUCAUGUAAAUACUGAAUGUGACCCAUCAAAUUAUGAGAAAGUCACUAAGAAGAGAAAAUGCCCUGUUCGAGGUUGUCGGGAGGUCCUUACAUUCUCAAACACCAUCAAAUGCAGGGAUUGCACCAUAGACCAUUGCUUGAAGCACCGGUUUGGACCUGACCAUGAUUGUCCGGGACCCAAGAAAAUUGAGGUGGGUUUUCAAUUUCUGAGUCUUCUAAAUAGGAGUAGGAAGGAUGAAUCAAAGCCCAACCGAACUCCAGCUGCAUCUUCAACUAAGUGGGCCUCAGCCUUCCGUAAUGCAGCUUCAACUGUUCGGGCCUCAGCUGAAGCGGGUGUGGCAAAGUUGAGUACUGAGAUCAGCCAAGCUUGGCAGACUGCAAAGAAUACUGCAGGCCCAAGCAGCAGUAGUGGGGGGGAUGCAAUUGGGCUGGAGGAGGAAUGCCCACAAUGUGGUGCAAGGUUUUCCUCAGUUACAGUUCUGGUGGAGCAUGUGCAGAAGGUGCAUGAAAGGGGUGGGAACCAAUCGCGUGUCCUGAAGUUGCCUGUAGAUGUAUGCCCCAAAUGUAGUAAAGGCUUUCGUGAUCCCGUGGCACUUGUGGAGCAUGUUGAGAGGGAUCAUGGAGGUACUUCAAAAGCUUAGAAAGUUUUGGCCAUCAAAGCAGCAAAUUCACUUCCAGAUGGCUUAUUAUUGUAUUUCAAAUUUUCAAUUAUGGCUUGCUCUUAUUUAUUUGAGGCUGCAGAAGUGCAAACAACUUUCGAGCAUUGAAUUAAUAUGCAGUGCUUUGAACUAAAACUUUCAAUUCAAAAUGUCUAUAUAAAUUGAUUACAGUCAAACGAAUUCUUUUUUUAUUUUUUCAUCUGGAUGACUGAUUUUUUUUUUCUUUUCCUUCAUUUGAUUGACAAGAGGAU
This 1870-nucleotide unclassified non-coding RNA is filed under the name Hevea brasiliensis (rubber tree). Lineage: Eukaryota; Viridiplantae; Streptophyta; Magnoliopsida; Malpighiales; Euphorbiaceae. The record is from RNAcentral.